AAAGUCACUUGCUUUUCUCUCUCGAGACUCGGAAUCCAUGGCCGGAGAUGGAGAUCCAAGUCUCUGUUAAGCUCCGGUGACUCAGAUGCACAAUUUUAAAGUCUGCUUAUGAAUGUCAGAACUCAAAACAUUGCAUCUGUAGCAGAGGAGUGGGGAGAGAGAAGGAAAUGUCGCCGGUGAAAGUACCCAUGAUGCCGCCAAUAACAGCAUCCACUGGUGACGAUGACGAUGACGGCCUCGACGAGGACGAACUGCUUGGAGAGACAAUCGUGGAAGCCAUGCUCGAGAGUGAAUGGUACCAGAGAUUGAAAAUUGAAACCCUAGAAAAUUGGGGAUUUUGAAUUCAGCAGAGAGUGAAUGGGGAUCUGGAAGGGACAUCGGAGGCCUAACAAUGAAACCCUAGUCUCGUU
This is a long non-coding RNA of Rosa rugosa (rugosa rose), 410 nucleotides long. RefSeq lists it as uncharacterized. The transcript has 2 exons. NCBI's taxonomy places the organism in Eukaryota, Viridiplantae, Streptophyta, Magnoliopsida, Rosales, Rosaceae. The record is from RefSeq and is a predicted model, not a curated record.